Molecule: ribosomal RNA, 568 nt
Filed under: uncultured bacterium
Lineage: Bacteria
Description: partial 16S ribosomal RNA
Rfam family: Bacterial small subunit ribosomal RNA
Source: RNAcentral
UGGGGAAUUUUGGACAAUGGGCGAAAGCCUGAUCCAGCAAUGCCGCGUGUGUGAAGAAGGCCUUCGGGUUGUAAAGCACUUUUGUCCGGAAAGAAAUCCUUGGCUCUAAUACAGUCGGGGGAUGACGGUACCGGAAGAAUAAGCACCGGCUAACUACGUGCCAGCAGCCGCGGUAAUACGUAGGGUGCAAGCGUUAAUCGGAAUUACUGGGCGUAAAGCGUGCGCAGGCGGUUUGCUAAGACCGAUGUGAAAUCCCCGGGCUCAACCUGGGAACUGCAUUGGUGACUGGCAGGCUAGAGUAUGGCAGAGGGGGGUAGAAUUCCACGUGUAGCAGUGAAAUGCGUAGAGAUGUGGAGGAAUACCGAUGGCGAAGGCAGCCCCCUGGGCCAAUACUGACGCUCAUGCACGAAAGCGUGGGGAGCAAAACAGGAUUAGAUACCCUGGUAGUCCACGCCCUAAAACGAUGUCAACUAGUUGUUGGGGAUUCAUUUCCUUAGUAACGUAGCUAACGCGUGAAGUUGACCGCCUGGGGAGUACGGUCGCAAGAUUAAAACUCAAAGGAAUUGAC